GUUUUCCAGAAAAUGAACAAUAAAUAGGUUCUUUCAUAUUUUAUUGUUGGACAUUAGAAUUCAUGUUUUUGUCAUUUAAUUUCAGGUGAUUUUGAAUUUGCCACCAUUGGGAAGAGGAGUUCCAGCACCAACGGGACUCCUGCAUAUAUGGCUCCCGAGGCACUUGCCUGUCUCGUAGAUGACCAUCUGGACUAUGACCACAGGGCCGACAUCUGGUCAUUGGGAGUCAGCGCCAUUGAAAUGGCACAGGGCUAUCUCCCAUACGGCAAUCUGAGGGGCCACAAGCUGAUCAACAGAAUUCUCAAAGGUCCUGCUGUAACACUCACGGGGAACAACUGGUGAGUGACUCCCCCUGAAAUAGGAAAAGAGAG
This is a long non-coding RNA of Xenopus laevis (African clawed frog), 371 nucleotides long. RefSeq lists it as uncharacterized. NCBI's taxonomy places the organism in Eukaryota, Metazoa, Chordata, Amphibia, Anura, Pipidae. The record is from RefSeq and is a predicted model, not a curated record. The transcript has 3 exons.